Molecule: ribosomal RNA, 253 nt
Filed under: uncultured bacterium
Lineage: Bacteria
Description: partial 16S ribosomal RNA
Rfam family: Bacterial small subunit ribosomal RNA
Source: RNAcentral
UACGAAGGGGGCUAGCGUUGCUCGGAAUCACUGGGCGUAAAGCGCACGUAGGCGGACUCUUAAGUCGGUGGUGAAAUCCUGGAGCUCAACUCCAGAACUGCCUUCGAUACUGAGAGUCUCGAGUCCGAGAGAGGUGAGUGGAACUGCGAGUGUAGAGGUGAAAUUCGUAGAUAUUCGCAGGAACACCAGUGGCGAAGGCGGCUCACUGGCUCGGUACUGACGCUGAGGUGCGAAAGCGUGGGGAGCAAACAGG